AACGUAGGAGACGAGCGUUAUCCGGAAUUACUGGGCGUAAAGCGCGUGUAGGCGGUCAUGUAAGUUCGUCGUGAAAGCUCCCGGCUAAACUGGGAGAGGUCGAUGGAUACUGCAUGGCUGGAGUGGGGGAGAGGCAGGUGGAAUUCCGGGUGUAGUGGUGAAAUGCGUAGAGAUCCGGAGGAACACCAGUGGCGAAGGCGGCCUGCUGGCCCUCAACUGACGCUGAGACGCGAAAGCAUGGGGAGCGAACGGG
Molecule: ribosomal RNA, 253 nt
Filed under: uncultured bacterium
Lineage: Bacteria
Description: partial 16S ribosomal RNA
Rfam family: Bacterial small subunit ribosomal RNA
Source: RNAcentral